AAGACAGGUCAGAUGUUAGGUACGGACUAGGGAGGGUACAGGUAGAGGAAGACAGGUCAGAUGUUAGGUACGGACUAGGGAGGGUACAGGUAGAGGAAGACAGGUCAGAUGUUAGGUACGGACUAGGGAGGGUACAGGAAGACAGGUCAGAUGUUAGGUACGGACUAGGGAGGGUACAGGUAGAGGAAGACAGGUCAGAUGUUAGGUACGGACUAGGGAGGGUACAGGAAGACAGGUCAGAUGUUAGGUACGGUCUAGGGAGGGUACAUGAAGA
Molecule: long non-coding RNA, 274 nt
Organism: Oncorhynchus tshawytscha (Chinook salmon)
Lineage: Eukaryota; Metazoa; Chordata; Actinopteri; Salmoniformes; Salmonidae
Exons: 3
Source: RefSeq, a predicted model, not a curated record